GAAGACAUGAAGGCAUCAGGGACACUGUGCGAGUGGGCACUGCUGCUUUCCACUGCUCUCCCUAGACUGCAGCCAGGAGGCUGCCUCUGCCCUGCCAGGCGCACACACCAAGAAAGGCCAUGUGGGCACACAGCAAGAUGGUGCCUGUCUGCAAACUAGGAAAAGAGCCCUCACCAGGAACUGAAACAGCUGGCACCUUGAUGUUGGACUUUCCAGCCUCCACAACUGUGAGAGUUUUGGAGGCUGGUAAGUCCAAGAUCAAGGUGCCAACAAGUUUGCUUGUCUAACAAGGGCUGCAUCUUCCUGAGGGGAGGAACGCUAUGUCUUCACAUGGUGGAUGGCAUAAAGGCAAGAGAGUCGAAUGCUGCGUGAAACCUCUUUUACAAAGACCUCAAUCCCAUUCACAAGGGAGGAGCCCUCAUUGCCUAAUCAUCACCUGUUAAGGGUCUUGUCUCUUAAUUCUGUUACACUGGCCAUUAAGUUUCAACACCUGAAAUUUGGAGGAGACACAUUCAAAUCAUAGCAGCAGGUCACUGAUUGUUAUCUUUAUUUUACAUAUAAGGAAACUGAGGCUCAGCGAAGUCAUGUAAUUAUUCCCCAGGUUAUGCAGGCAGCAAAUGGCAGAGGCAGCUCAUUGUUUGGUCUUUCCAUACCAUGCUGUACUGUAGAAUUUGGAAAGGUUUAUUGCAUCACCAGUUAGUAAGUCAGGAACUAUAGCUCCCUUGGAAUUGC
Long non-coding RNA from Homo sapiens (human), 732 nucleotides. Ensembl annotates it as SMC5 divergent transcript. Its record names the gene SMC5-DT. NCBI's taxonomy places the organism in Eukaryota, Metazoa, Chordata, Mammalia, Primates, Hominidae. The record is from Ensembl.